Molecule: ribosomal RNA, 277 nt
Filed under: uncultured bacterium
Lineage: Bacteria
Description: partial 16S ribosomal RNA
Rfam family: Bacterial small subunit ribosomal RNA
Source: RNAcentral
GACGAACGCUGGCGGCGUGCUUAACACAUGCAAGUCGAGCGGUAAGGCCCUUCGGGGUACACGAGCGGCGAACGGGUGAGUAACACGUGGGCAACCUGCCCCGUACUCUGGGAUAAGCCCGGGAAACUGGGUCUAAUACCGGAUAUGACCUGCCAUCGCAUGGUGGUGGGUGGAAAGUUCCGGCGGUACGGGAUGGGCCCGCGGCCUAUCAGCUUGUUGGUGGGGUAGUGGCCUACCAAGGCGACGACGGGUAGCCGGCCUGAGAGGGCGACCGGCC